GCCCGUGUAGCUCAGUUGGUAGAGCACUUCCUUGGUAAGGAAGAGGUCACCAGUUCAAUUCUGGUCGCGGGCU
This 73-nucleotide transfer RNA is filed under the name Candidatus Margulisiibacteriota bacterium. RNAcentral's name for it is "tRNA-Thr". It matches the Rfam family "tRNA". From Rfam's summary of the family: Transfer RNA (tRNA) molecules are approximately 80 nucleotides in length. Their secondary structure includes four short double-helical elements and three loops (D, anti-codon, and T loops). The record is from RNAcentral. Lineage: Bacteria; Bacillati; Candidatus Margulisiibacteriota.